Molecule: long non-coding RNA, 218 nt
Filed under: Rattus norvegicus (Norway rat)
Lineage: Eukaryota; Metazoa; Chordata; Mammalia; Rodentia; Muridae
Description: long non-coding RNA NONRATT028992
Source: RNAcentral
ACCUGCUUGGUCACUAUCUCAUCCAUGGGUUCCGAGUGCAACCAGAGCCCAAAGGAGACCUGGACUCUGAGGCCAUGAUAGCAGUGUUUGGGAGCAAGGGCCUCAGAGUUGUGAAAAUAAGCUGGGGUCAAAGCCAUCUCCGAGAGCUCUGGCGCUCUGGCCUGUGGAACAUGUCCGACUGGAUCUGGGAUGCGCGCUGGCUUGAGGGUAACGUAGCC